UACGUAGGGGGCGAGCGUUAUCCGGAAUUACUGGGCGUAAAGCGUGCGCAGGCGGUUGUGUAAGACAGAUGUGAAAUCCCCGGGCUCAACCUGGGAACUGCAUUUGUGACUGCACAGCUGGAGUGCGGCAGAGGGGGAUGGAAUUCCGCGUGUAGCAGUGAAAUGCGUAGAUAUGCGGAGGAACACCGAUGGCGAAGGCAAUCCCCUGGGCCUGCACUGACGCUCAUGCACGAAAGCGUGGGGAGCAAACAGG
RNAcentral lists this ribosomal RNA (253 nucleotides) under uncultured bacterium. RNAcentral's name for it is "partial 16S ribosomal RNA". It matches the Rfam family "Bacterial small subunit ribosomal RNA", at positions 524 to 776 of the family's 1533-position model. The record is from RNAcentral.